This is a non-coding RNA of Saimiri boliviensis boliviensis (Bolivian squirrel monkey), 402 nucleotides long. The record is from the annotation of a RefSeq genome assembly. NCBI's taxonomy places the organism in Eukaryota, Metazoa, Chordata, Mammalia, Primates, Cebidae.
AGUCAGUCCCAGUCAAGACACAGCAUGGACAUGAGGGUCCCCGCUCAGCUCCUGGGGCUCCUGCUGCUCUGGCUCCCAGGUACCAGAUGUGACAUCCAGAUGACCCAGUCUCCGUCCUCCCUGUCUGCAUCCGUAGGAGACAAAGUCACCAUCACUUGCCAGGCAAGUCAAGGUAUUAACAGCUGGUUAGCCUGGUAUCAGCAGAAACCAGGGAAAGCUCCUAGGCUCCUGAUCUAUGCUGCAUCUAGUUUGCAAACUGGGAUUCCCUCUCGGUUCAGUGGCAGUGGAUCUGGGACACACUACACUCUCACCAUCAGCAGCCUGCAGCCUGAUGAUUUUGCCACUUAUUACUGUCAACAAACUUAUAGUACUCCUCCCACAGUGUUUCAAGUCAUAACAUAA